This 910-nucleotide long non-coding RNA is filed under the name Junco hyemalis (dark-eyed junco). RNAcentral's name for it is "lncRNA (ENSJHYG00000016954.1)". The record is from RNAcentral. Lineage: Eukaryota; Metazoa; Chordata; Aves; Passeriformes; Passerellidae.
UGAUGGGAGGAGGAUUCUCUUCCCAGGACCAGCGCUUGCCUGGCUGCAGUGUGGCCACAAACCCAGGAACGCCUUGCUCAGCCCCAGUGGAGACAGACAGCGCUAAACCCCGGGGCUGGCUCUGGGAAAUGUGUUGCUCUGUGCUUUUUGCACCGAAUUCCCAGUGUGAACAGCUCUGCUCCCACAAUAAGCUCCUGGAGGUUUAGGGUGGCUCCAGCCUUUUGGGGAGAGCGGAGGCUCUCCGGGCGUGUUCACAAGGGAAUAUUGACGUUUGGGACCAAGGGAUGGAAAACUGGGCUGUGAGCUGCUGGAGCUGUUAUCAAGGAUAUUUAUCCCAGCAACUUUCCCCUGCAGGACUUCUCAAGGUUGUCCUUCUUUUUCUCCAUUCCCACUGUUCCCUCUGCUCCACGAAGUUGCCUGGGGCCUGCCAAGGUGCCAGGCACAGAUCCAUCCCUCUGGAGUGCCCCAGCUGAGCAGGAAGAGUGGUGUGGAGGCAGCAGAUUCCUUUGGGAUCGCUGGGAUUUGGCUCAGCCCCGCGUGGCUGUGCCAGCCCAGCUGCACAGAGGCUGCAUCUGCAGGGAUCUCACAUCUGGGAUAACCUGGCUCAGGAAUCAGGCAGGUUGGAUUGUCCUGGCUCUAUUCCUUCCCAGGCACAGCCCUGACUCUUCCUGGCUUUGUGGGGAAGACAUUUCACCUUUCUUUGGGAGCCCUUUCCAUGGAGCCCAGCACAGAUCCAGCCCAUUUUGCCACGGAUCCUUUUUUCUUCCCAAGCUUGCUCCAGCUGUGAGCAGCUGCAGUGCUGGCUCUCAUCCCUCCAGCUGCCCUCCCCAAAGUCACAUCCCCUCACAGAUCCCAUUUCCCACCUGAUUGCCACAUUUAUCACACCUUUUUCUGCCAGAACCACAGGGGC